Molecule: long non-coding RNA, 1609 nt
Organism: Carassius gibelio (silver crucian carp)
Lineage: Eukaryota; Metazoa; Chordata; Actinopteri; Cypriniformes; Cyprinidae
Exons: 3
Source: RefSeq, a predicted model, not a curated record
ACUACACCCCUCCCUGGCUACACUUGCAUCAGAGUUGGUGACAGUUUUAUGCUUCUGAAACGUUCUUGGACUGUUCUACAAAUCCUUGCCAGGUUUUGACUUAUUACACCAAAAUAAGAUUCUUGUUCAGAAGUUGUUUGCCAUUUCUUAAAGGCUGUUUUUAGGGGAACGUACACUCCAAGCCCAUGCCCAUGCAUUGUCAUACUCAUAGCACAAAGCUAGACCUAAAAUGGCUGCUUGUUUUGUGUUUUAUAUGGUCAACUUAAAUUUGUUUAAAUAUGUCCACAGACUUCUGCAGGGUUCAUUUUGCACAUUGUCUGUUUUGUAAAUUGGUUAAUUUUCUUCUCUCUUCAUUUCAUCUUUCUCUAACACAUACAAAGACUGACUCUUCCAUUUUGAUUGCUUAUUUUUUUUGGAGAAAGCAUUUGAAUUAUUGGUUGGGCACUUAAAUAAAUAGUGUUCUAUAAGAAAUACCCCCUUGGUCUUCUCUUUUCUGUCUAUUUGCUGCCACUUUUUAGUAUAAAUGAAAUGCCAGUUUGUGAAUUUGUUAAAAUACAGAUAUUUUUAAUAAAGUUAAUGAUUGGCAAAAUUGCCAGUUCUACGGUUUAGAAAAAAAAAAAAACUAGAAUACAGUAAUGAUCCUGAAAAAUUACGGUACACCGCUGGAAACCUUGCUGCCAGUAUAUUACUGUUAAUUUACAAAAAAAGCUGUAAUUCAGAAAACUGUAAAAUAACGGUACACAGCUGGAAACCCUGCUGCCAGUAUAUUACCGUUAAUUUACAGAAAAGCUGUAAUUCUGGAAACUGUAAAAUAACGGUACACAGCUGGAAACCCUGCUGCCAGUAUAUUACCGUUAAUUUACAAAAAAGCCGUAAUUCAGAAAACGGUAAUAAAACUGUAAAAUUACGGUACACUGCUGGAAACCCUGCUGCCAGUAUACUACCGUUAAUUUACAGGACAAUUUUUUACAGUGUAUGCAUGCUUUUUAACGUGUAUUGAUGUGAAUCUAGUGUGAUCGCACCGUUGAAGUGUUUGAUCUGGUUUCCAAAAGCCUGAUUUGAGAUCAGAUUCCUGUCAUACAGAGACUGAUCCGCGGUCAGCAGGAAGGAAACUUGUGAGCUGCUUUGAUGAAAACAUUCCUCUGUUUUUCUCUUCCGUGGUUUUUGUAAAACUUUUGUUGUGCUAAAAUGAGCGAAUGACUUUGUACUGAUGUUGAGAGGUAUAUGAUCACAUUAAAGGUUAUGUUUCAUGCAGUCCUGAUGACUCGACUCUUCUUCUUUAAAUGUCUGGAUAUAUUUAGCAGAUCAUUUUUGCAGAUGGUAAUGUGAAUCGAAGGUCAGCGUCUGCUACAAUGUGUCACGCUUGUCUGGAUGAAUGAACAUCAGUCUGAUAUAUCAGCUAAAAGAUCUUUUCUCUGUUUGUGAGAUAUCAACGUCCAUCCCAAAGACCUUGUUGAGAUCUCUUCUGAAACCCAUGAUGAGACGCAUCGUUUGGCAGCAGUUCAGACGUGCGAUCGGCCCAGUCACAUCCCGAAGACCCUUUGAUGUGAAACAGAGCCUUCUGAUUGGCUGCCUGGAGGAGAUGACCUUUGAUUGGCCGACACUUCAG